This 404-nucleotide transfer-messenger RNA is filed under the name Muribaculaceae bacterium. It matches the Rfam family "transfer-messenger RNA". From Rfam's summary of the family: Bacterial tmRNA, also known as 10Sa RNA or SsrA, is named for its dual tRNA and mRNA-like properties. Its role is to liberate the mRNA from a stalled ribosome. To accomplish this part of the tmRNA is used as a reading frame that ends in a translation stop signal. Lineage: Bacteria; Pseudomonadati; Bacteroidota; Bacteroidia; Bacteroidales; Muribaculaceae. The record is from RNAcentral.
GGGGGUAACUGGAUUUGACAGCACGUAGAAACGGUAAGUAAGCAUGCAGAGCUUUGGUGUGUAAGCUCUAUAAUCACAAACGCAUCGACCUAUAAUUGGCGAAAAUAACAAUUACGCUCUCGCUGCCUAAACCGAAGUAUAGUAAGUUGGCUUUAUUCGCUUCAAAGUGAAGUGAACGAGACAUCAUCCCAUUGCCCCGUUCCGAGACGUUUGGAUAAGAUGGUGCAGAGUAAUUCGGAAAUUGAAUUUGAGGAGCCUUGACUCAAAUUUGAAAUUUAGAGGAUAAGGGAGAAAUUGGUCGUCACCAACCUGUUUCUUCUCGAAAAUCAAUUGGAUGACUAAGCAUGUAGAAAGCUUAUUGGGUCCGUGAUUGGACGAGGGUUCGAACCCCUCUACCUCCACUA